GUCGAACGAUGAUGCCCAGCUUGCUGGGUGGAUUAGUGGCGAACGGGUGAGUAACACGUGAGUAACCUGCCCCUGACUCUGGGAUAAGCGUUGGAAACGACGUCUAAUACUGGAUAUGAUCACUGGCCGCAUGGUCUGGUGGUGGAAAGAUUUUUUGGUUGGGGAUGGACUCGCGGCCUAUCAGCUUGUUGGUGAGGUAAUGGCUCACCAAGGCGACGACGGGUAGCCGGCCUGAGAGGGUGACCGGCCACACUGGGACUGAGACACGGCCCAGACUCCUACGGGAGGCAGCAGUGGGGAAUAUUGCACAAUGGGCGAAAGCCUGAUGCAGCAACGCCGCGUGAGGGAUGACGGCCUUCGGGUUGUAAACCUCUUUUAGUAGGGAAGAAGCGAAAGUGACGGUACCUGCAGAAAAAGCACCGGCUAACUACGUGCCAGCAGCCGCGGUAAUACGUAGGGUGCAAGCGUUGUCCGGAAUUAUUGGGCGUAAAGAGCUCGUAGGCGGUUUGUCGCGUCUGCUGUGAAAUCCCGAGGCUCAACCUCGGGCUUGCAGUGGGUACGGGCAGACUAGAGUGCGGUAGGGGAGAUUGGAAUUCCUGGUGUAGCGGUGGAAUGCGCAGAUAUCAGGAGGAACACCGAUGGCGAAGGCAGAUCUCUGGRCCGUAACUGACGCUGAGGAGCGAAAGCAUGGGGAGCGAACAGGAUUAGAUACC
This 713-nucleotide ribosomal RNA is filed under the name Curtobacterium sp. B190F. Its description in RNAcentral is "bacterial SSU rRNA". It matches the Rfam family "Bacterial small subunit ribosomal RNA", at positions 61 to 786 of the family's 1533-position model. Lineage: Bacteria; Bacillati; Actinomycetota; Actinomycetes; Micrococcales; Microbacteriaceae. The record is from RNAcentral.